This 253-nucleotide ribosomal RNA is filed under the name uncultured bacterium. Its description in RNAcentral is "partial 16S ribosomal RNA". It matches the Rfam family "Bacterial small subunit ribosomal RNA", at positions 524 to 776 of the family's 1533-position model. The record is from RNAcentral.
UACAGAGACCUCAAGCGUUAUCCGGAUUUAUUGGGCGUAAAGCGCGUGUAGGCGGGCUUAUUAGUCAGAUGUCAAAUCUCCGAGCUCAACUCGGAAACUGCAUUUGAAACGGUAAGUCUGGAGAGAGCGAGAGACCAAUGGAACGUAUGGUGUAGCAGUGAAAUGCGUUGAUAUCAUACGGAACACCAAAGGCGAAGGCAUUUGGUUGGCGCUCAUCUGACGCUGAGACGCGAAAGCGUGGGUAGCGAAUGGG